Equus asinus (donkey) is the source of this 2112-nucleotide long non-coding RNA. Lineage: Eukaryota; Metazoa; Chordata; Mammalia; Perissodactyla; Equidae. The record is from Ensembl.
UUUAAAAAAAUAAUAAUAGAUAGACAUAGAUAUAGGUGUAAUACAAGGCAUAGCAACCAGAAUGUCAAGUCUCCACAGCAACGCUGGAAUGUAGAAUAUUAGGAACCACUGUUUUCAAUAUUCUGAGGGAGAUACAUUUUCAACCCACAGUGCCAAACCAAACAAAACUUUAUCAAAUAGGAGGAUAAGAUAAAGAUAUUUUCAGGCAUGCAAAAAUGCCUUUAUUUCUCAAACAUCCUUUCUGAAGCAGCUACUGAAGAAUUUCUUUUUAUGAAAGAAAGAAACAACAACAACAAAGGCAGACAUGAGACCAAGAAAUACAGCCCAUCAUCCGGAUGGCAGCCACAGAAAGUAAAGCUCAAUCCACAGUUCAGAAAUUCUAAUUUGAAAAGAGAAAAAUACACACAAAGUAUACAAUGACUCAUCCAAAAAAGUAAAAAGCAGUCUUUUGACAAAGUUGGAGAAAUAAAAUCAAUUUACCUACUUCUAACACUAUAUUUCCUCCACUAUCACCUCUUUCUUGUUCCAACUCUUCUUGAAGGCAACACUACAUUGAACUGUAGAAGAUGCAAGAUGUUUCUUCAAAUAUGAAAAAAUCUUGGUAUUUCCGAACCAGGAAAUACUGAUAGCUCAUUGUUCUCUCAAGUUAUUUGAGCCUUUUUCAUUUAUCUUCCGUAUAUUUUUCUGGUCUCCAACAUCGCCAUGUGAGACCAGGGAUCACAAUUCAUCCUUCCUUGUAACUCAAAAAGUUCUCGACAUAUGAUAAGUGCUCAACAGCUGUGUAACCUACAUGAUAUUGACUGUGUCGCAAUUAAAGCAUAAUUCACCAGAGUUGCCCCUUCAAGUGUGAAGAUUCUUAAUGGAGCUACAUAAGAAGCUAACAAAGACCUGUCCAACAGGAGUAAACUAAUCAAGUGCAGCCCCCGAAUUCUGAAGAACACUAGAAGAAAACAGACUUUCCCUAAAUAUCACGUGAUAGAGGCUCAUUACGUAAAGACUAUACUUUGAGCAAAUACUAGACAAAGACUAUGAAAUGUCUGCAAUUCUGAUUAGGGUCCUAGAACAAGAAGUCAACAAUCCAGAACAGAUGGCAUGAGAAAUACUAAAGAAACUACUCCAGGCCCUAAUGCGUUGGUCUUACCUGGCUGUCCGCAGGACUUGGGGGCAGUGGACGCCGAGGGCGUAACGCCAACUAAGCAGCAUGCCACAGAAUCAUGUUUUCCUGAGAUUUGUGGUUUUCUGGGUAUACUCUCCAUUACAGUUGCUGAUUUGUUUUUAUUGCUGUUGUUGAUGCUAAAAGGGACAGCUGGAAACUAGGGAUUGAAAGUUUCCAGCUCCAGAUGAGCUCAAGGUUAUAGCCCCAGACCUUACACAAGGAACUCGAAUCAAUUUUGCCAAGGUUCUCACUAACAGAAUCUGUGAGAUCAAGAGCAGUGUGCCAAGGGUCUCUUGUACCAAGAAAUAUUUUAAAAGCUGCAGUCUUUUGGAAUUCUGUUUUCCUCUGUAGCCCCCUAAGCCACUGGGAUAUUGAAGCAAGAUUUCAAUAAAGACUAAGCUCACAUUUUACAUGUAGAAUGGGAACCAGACAGAGAAGAUCUGAAAUUCAGUCAUAAGGAAGAGUUCAGGCCGGUUAUUUUAUGCGUGUCUCCUACACACAGACUAGAAACUAUAGCUCUAAAAUUGAUCCCACUGGGACCGGAGGCAAAAUAUUUUCCAGGAUGAAUACGCUGCGCUAAUUGCGUUCCUCCAUCCUUUUGUUCCCCAUCCUCUCUAGGCUUUUCCCUUUUCUCUUUAUCUCUUCCCCUUGGUAAACUCUCCGGAGAGAGAAUUUGUUUCUUUUUCCCUCACAGAAUCGAAAGGAAACACUCACAAGAAAGAGGUGGUCUGAAAUAAGAACUAAGAGGACAAAGGGCACAUUCAAGAAAAGAAUCCCUUAAAAACUGCUCCGCAUUUGGAUAUGUUUUCAUUCACCAACUUGUGCAAUAGAAUCUUUAAGAGGCCAGAAACAGAAGCACCUCAGUUCUUUCACAGAAGACCAAUAAGGUCCUGCAUCCCUUUGCAUCUUCCUCUCCCUUGCUUAAGCCACCCUAAUAAAGAAGUGAAUUUCCUCUC